GUAUAACAUAACCUCCGAGCAAUUAAACCAAGACUUACCAGUCAAGGCUAUAUAACUUAUUGAUCCAAUCUUAUUGAUCAACGAAACAAGUUACCCUAGGGAUAACAGCGCAAUCCUAUUUAAGAGUUCAUAUCGACAAUAGGGUUUACGACCUCGAUGUUGGAUCAGGACACCCAAAUGGUGCAGCAGCUAUUAAAGGUUCGUUUGUUCAACGAUUAAAGUCCUACGUGAUCUGAGUUCAGACCGGAGAA
Molecule: ribosomal RNA, 251 nt
Filed under: Crocidura olivieri (Olivier's shrew)
Lineage: Eukaryota; Metazoa; Chordata; Mammalia; Eulipotyphla; Soricidae
Description: partial large subunit ribosomal RNA
Rfam family: Bacterial large subunit ribosomal RNA
Source: RNAcentral